This 303-nucleotide ribosomal RNA is filed under the name Triticum aestivum (bread wheat). Its description in RNAcentral is "partial small subunit ribosomal RNA". Lineage: Eukaryota; Viridiplantae; Streptophyta; Magnoliopsida; Poales; Poaceae. The record is from RNAcentral.
AUGCAGAUCUUCGUGAAGACGCCGACGGGGAAGACGGUGACCCUGGAGGUCGAGAGCACCGACACCAUCGGCAGCGUCAAGGCCAAGAUCGACGGCGAGGAAGGCUUGUUACCGGAGCAGCAGCGGCUCAUCUUCGGUGGGAAGCCGCUGGAGGACGACCGCAGCCUGGCCGAGUACGACGUCCACAAGGACUCCACUCUGCACCUGCUGCUUCACCUGCCCGGGGGGGUUUGGUGCAUCGAAGACAGCCUCAGAGACCUCGCAGAAGACUACAACGUAAACAAGAAGAUCUGCUGCAAGUAA